RNAcentral lists this ribosomal RNA (233 nucleotides) under uncultured Actinomycetales bacterium. RNAcentral's name for it is "partial 16S ribosomal RNA". It matches the Rfam family "Bacterial small subunit ribosomal RNA", at positions 97 to 334 of the family's 1533-position model. Lineage: Bacteria; Bacillati; Actinomycetota; Actinomycetes; Actinomycetales. The record is from RNAcentral.
GGCGAACGGGUGAGUAACACGUGGGUGAUCUGCCCUGCACUCUGGGAUAAGCCUGGGAAACUGGGUCUAAUACCGGAUAGGACCAUGCUUUAGUGUGUGUGGUGGAAAGUUUUUCGGUAUAGGAUGAGCCCGCGGCCUAUCAGCUUGUUGGUGGGGUAAUGGCCUACCAAGGCGGCGACGGGUAGCCGGACUGAGAGGUUGGUCGGCCACAUUGGGACUGAGAUACGGCCCAG